This 332-nucleotide unclassified non-coding RNA is filed under the name soil metagenome. Its description in RNAcentral is "partial contains 5.8S ribosomal RNA, internal transcribed spacer 2, and large subunit ribosomal RNA". The stretch from base 1 to 120 matches the Rfam family "5.8S ribosomal RNA", at positions 35 to 154 of the family's 154-position model. The record is from RNAcentral.
GAUGAAGAACGCAGCGAAAUGCGAUAAGUAGUGUGAAUUGCAGAAUUCAGUGAAUCAUCGAAUCUUUGAACGCACAUUGCGCCCUUUGGUAUUCCUUAGGGCAUGCCUGUUCGAGCGUCAUUUAAACCUUCAAGCUAAGCUUGGUGUUGGGUAACUGUCCGCUUCACGGCGGACUCGCCUCAAAAUUAUUGGCGGCCGGUACAUUGGCUUCGAGCGCAGCAGAAACGCGAACUCGGGCCCGUCGUAUUGGCUCCCAGAAGCUAUCUUCACAAUUUUGACCUCGGAUCAGGUAGGGAUACCCGCUGAACUUAAGCAUAUCAAUAAGCGGAGGA